This 287-nucleotide long non-coding RNA is filed under the name Elaeis guineensis (African oil palm). Its description in RNAcentral is "long non-coding RNA (EGUI_LNC063097)". The record is from RNAcentral. Lineage: Eukaryota; Viridiplantae; Streptophyta; Magnoliopsida; Arecales; Arecaceae.
UGCAGCAUCAACGCCUAAGGCACCCAACAACAGCCCGUCAGCAACCUCAAAAAUAUUCGAGCUUCUCUCAGAUUGCUGAGAUAGAGAGCUAUUCCGCUCUACCAGAUGUCCCAAUCGAGCUUCAGCCGUCUGACCCAAACUCUCUGGCAAGUCACGACAACGGACAUUACUCCACUCUCUGUAACAAACUCCACGUGGCCCCACCAUUCUCUGGCAAGUCGCGACAACGGACACCACUCCACUCUCUGUAACAAACUCCAUGUGGCUCCGAACGGCCCACUGACACC